RNAcentral lists this ribosomal RNA (705 nucleotides) under uncultured Prevotella sp. RNAcentral's name for it is "bacterial SSU rRNA". The stretch from base 1 to 531 matches the Rfam family "Bacterial small subunit ribosomal RNA", at positions 28 to 545 of the family's 1533-position model. Lineage: Bacteria; Pseudomonadati; Bacteroidota; Bacteroidia; Bacteroidales; Prevotellaceae. The record is from RNAcentral.
GACGAACGCUGGCGGCGUGCUUAACACAUGCAAGUCGAACGAUGAUGCGGUGCUUGCACCGUUGAUUAGUGGCGAACGGGUGAGUAACACGUGAGUAACCUGCCCUCUUCUUUGGGAUAACGGUCUGAAAGGGCUGCUAAUACUGAAUAUUCACAUGUCUUCGCAUGGGGGUGUGUGGAAAGAGAUGCUUUUGGGUGUUUUUGGUGGGGGAUGGGCUCGCGGCCUAUCAGCUUGUUGGUGGGGUAGUGGCCUACCAAGGCUUUGACGGGUAACCGGCCUGAGAGGGUGACCGGUCACAUUGGGACUGAGAUACGGCCCAGACUCCUACGGGAGGCAGCAGUGGGGAAUUUUGCACAAUGGACGCAAGUCUGAUGCAGCGACGCCGCGUGAGGGAUGUAGGCCUUCGGGUUGUGAACCUCUUUCGCUCAUGGUCAAGCCGCAGCUUUGGGUUGUGGUGAGGGUAGUGGGUAAAGAAGCGCCGGCUAACUACGUGCCGGCACGCGCGGUAACACCUAGGGCGCGAGCGUUUUCCGGAGUUAUUUGGCCGCAAUGGGCGUGGAGCGUGUGGUUCUCGGCUGCUGUGCACUCAUCGGGUGAACUGGGGGCGUGCGUAGGUUCUCGGUUCGAUAGAUAGGGUAAGGGCAAAUUGGCAUUGUGUGUUUUUCUUUGUUAUCCUCCUAACCCACAAAACAAGGGGGAUAAACC